AUGCCGCUGCUCGCGCCGGGCCCGCGCGCGCUCUGCCGGGACCUCUACUGCGCCGCCUCGGCGCGGGAGCAGGCGGCCCCGGUCCCGUCCUCCGUGGCGGCGUGCUCGACCGUCGGCGGGGCGCUGUGGCGAGGCGGUGUUCGUGUGGCGAGGACGGGAGGAAGAGGGGUGAGGGCGGAGGCGGCCUACUUCUGGGACGCGUCGGUGCCGGUGGAGAUGGGCGAGAUCGACAGCAUGGACAAGCUCGACGCCGCGCUCGCCUCCUCCGCCGAGCAAAACCAGCCCAUCAUCAUCGACUGGAUGGCCAGCUGGUGCCGGAAAUGCAUUUACCUCAAGCCCAAGCUGGAGAAGAUAGCAGGAGAAUUUCCAGGAGUCAGGUUCUACUUUGUGGAUGUCAAUAAAGUUCCACAGGCCGUGGUGAAAAGAGGGAAUAUAAGCAAAAUGCCCACAAUUCAGUUGUGGAAGGAUGGAGAAUGGAAGGAGGAAGUGAUAGGAGGCCACAAAGCGUGGCUGGUGAUGGAUGAGGUUAGAGAGAUGAUCCAGAAGUACAAGUGA
This 555-nucleotide ribosomal RNA is filed under the name Triticum aestivum (bread wheat). Its description in RNAcentral is "partial small subunit ribosomal RNA". Lineage: Eukaryota; Viridiplantae; Streptophyta; Magnoliopsida; Poales; Poaceae. The record is from RNAcentral.